ACGAACGCUGGCGGCGUGCUUAACACAUGCAAGUCGAACGGAAAGGCCCCUUCGGGGGUACUCGAGUGGCGACCGGGUGAGUAACACGUGAGUAACCUGCCCUUGACUUCGGGAUAACUUCAGGAAACUGGGGCUAAUACCGGAUAGGAAUCCUUGCUGCAUGGUGGGGGUUGGAAAGCUUCGGCGGUUUUGGAUGGACUCGCGGCUUAUCAGCUUGUUGGUGGGGUAGUGGCUUACCAAGGCCGUGACGGGUAGCCGGCCUGAGAGGGCGACCGGCCACAUUGGGACUGAGAUACGGCCCAGACUCCGACGGGAGGCAGCAGUGGGGAAUAUUGCACAAUGGGCGGAAGCCUGAUGCAGCAACGCCGCGGGCGGGAGGACGGCCUUCGGGUUGUAAACCGCUUUCAGCAGGGGCGAAGCUUGUGGUGACGGUACCUGCAGAAGAAGCACCGGCUAACUACGUG
Molecule: ribosomal RNA, 464 nt
Filed under: uncultured bacterium
Lineage: Bacteria
Description: partial 16S ribosomal RNA
Rfam family: Bacterial small subunit ribosomal RNA
Source: RNAcentral